AGAGUUUGAUCAUGGCUCAGAACGAACGCUGGCGGCAGGCCUAACACAUGCAAGUCGAGCGCACCUUCGGGUGAGCGGCGGACGGGUUAGUGACGCGUGGGAAUAUGCCCUUCUCUACGGAAUAGCCUCGGGAAACUGAGAGUAAUACCGUAUACGCCCUUCGGGGGAAAGAUUUAUCGGAGAAGGAUUAGCCCGCGUUAGAUUAGAUAGUUGGUGGGGUAAUGGCCUACCAAGUCUACGAUCUAUAGCUGGUUUUAGAGGAUGAUCAGCAACACUGGGACUGAGACACGGCCCAGACUCCUACGGGAGGCAGCAGUGGGGAAUCUUAGACAAUGGGCGAAAGCCUGAUCUAGCCAUGCCGCGUGUGUGAUGAAGGUCUUAGGAUCGUAAAGCACUUUCGCCAGGGAUGAUAAUGACAGUACCUGGUAAAGAAACCCCGGCUAACUCCGUGCCAGCAGCCGCGGUAAUACGGAGGGGGUUAGCGUUGUUCGGAAUUACUGGGCGUAAAGCGUACGUAGGCGGAUCAGAAAGUUAGGGGUGAAAUCCCGAGGCUCAACCUCGGAACUGCCUCUAAAACUCCUGGUCUUGAGUUCGAGAGAGGUGAGUGGAAUUCCAAGUGUAGAGGUGAAAUUCGUAGAUAUUUGGAGGAACACCAGUGGCGAAGGCGGCUCACUGGCUCGAUACUGACGCUGAGGUACGAAAGUGUGGGGAGCAAACAGGAUUAGAUACCCUGGUAGU
Molecule: ribosomal RNA, 738 nt
Filed under: uncultured bacterium
Lineage: Bacteria
Description: bacterial SSU rRNA
Rfam family: Bacterial small subunit ribosomal RNA
Source: RNAcentral